Molecule: non-coding RNA, 73 nt
Organism: Eragrostis curvula (weeping love grass)
Lineage: Eukaryota; Viridiplantae; Streptophyta; Magnoliopsida; Poales; Poaceae
Source: the annotation of a GenBank genome assembly
GGGGUGGUGGCGCAGUUGGCUAGCGCGUAGGUCUCAUAUCCUGAGGUCGAGAGUUCGAACCUCUCUCGCCCCA